This 336-nucleotide unclassified non-coding RNA is filed under the name soil metagenome. RNAcentral describes it as "partial contains 5.8S ribosomal RNA, internal transcribed spacer 2, and large subunit ribosomal RNA". The stretch from base 1 to 120 matches the Rfam family "5.8S ribosomal RNA", at positions 35 to 154 of the family's 154-position model. The record is from RNAcentral.
GAUGAAGAACGCAGCGAAAUGCGAUAAGUAAUGUGAAUUGCAGAAUUCAGUGAAUCAUCGAAUCUUUGAACGCACAUUGCGCCCCUUGGUAUUCCAUGGGGCAUGCCUGUUCGAGCGUCAUUUGUACCCUCAAGCUUUGCUUGGUGUUGGGUGUUUGUCCUCUCCUUUGCGUUUGGACUCGCCUUAAAGCAAUUGGCAGCCAGUGUUUUGGUAUUGAAGCGCAGCACAUUUUGCGAUUCUAGCCGAUAAUACUUGCGUCCAUAAGCCUUUUUUAACUUUUGACCUCGGAUCAGGUAGGGAUACCCGCUGAACUUAAGCAUAUCAAUAAGCGGAGGA